GUAGAUAUAAUUUAAUAAAAAUGUUAGAUUGUGAUUCUAAAAAUAGAGGUUAAACCCCUCUUAUCCACC
Molecule: transfer RNA, 69 nt
Filed under: Zeus faber (John dory)
Lineage: Eukaryota; Metazoa; Chordata; Actinopteri; Zeiformes; Zeidae
Description: tRNA-His
Rfam family: tRNA
About the family: Transfer RNA (tRNA) molecules are approximately 80 nucleotides in length. Their secondary structure includes four short double-helical elements and three loops (D, anti-codon, and T loops). Further hydrogen bonds mediate the characteristic L-shaped molecular structure. tRNAs have two regions of fundamental functional importance: the anti-codon, which is responsible for specific mRNA codon recognition, and the 3' end, to which the tRNAs corresponding amino acid is attached (by aminoacyl-tRNA synthetases). tRNAs cope with the degeneracy of the genetic code in two manners: having more than one tRNA (with a specific anti-codon) for a particular amino acid; and 'wobble' base-pairing, i.e. permitting non-standard base-pairing at the 3rd anti-codon position.
Source: RNAcentral